AUGAACGCUGGCGGCGUGCCUAAUACAUGCCAGUCGAGCGAACAGACGAGGAGCUUGCUCCUCUGACGUUAGCGGCGGACGGGUGAGUAACACGUGGAUAACCUACCUAUAAGACUGGGAUAACUUCGGGAAACCGGAGCUAAUACCGGAUAAUAUAUUGAACCGCAUGGUUCAAUAGUGAAAGACGGUUUUGCUGUCACUUAUAGAUGGAUCCGCGCCGCAUUAGCUAGUUGGUAAGGUAACGGCUUACCAAGGCGACGAUGCGUAGCCGACCUGAGAGGGUGAUCGGCCACACUGGAACUGAGACACGGUCCAGACUCCUACGGGAGGCAGCAGUAGGGAAUCUUCCGCAAAGGGCGAAAGCCUGACGGAGCAACGCCGCGUGAGUGAUGAAGGUCUUCGGAUCGUAAAACUCUGUUAUUAGGGAAGAACAAAUGUGUAAGUAACUAUGCACGUCUUGACGGUACCUAAUCAGAAAGCCACGGCUAACUACGUG
RNAcentral lists this ribosomal RNA (496 nucleotides) under uncultured bacterium. RNAcentral describes it as "partial 16S ribosomal RNA". It matches the Rfam family "Bacterial small subunit ribosomal RNA", at positions 29 to 507 of the family's 1533-position model. The record is from RNAcentral.